AAGACCUUGCGCUUUUGUAGCGGCCGAUGCCUGAUUAGCUUGUUGGUAAGGUAAAAGCUUACCAAGGCUUCGAUCAGUAGCUGGUCUGAGAGGACGACCAGCCACACUGGGACUGAGACACGGCCCAGACUCCUACGGGAGGCAGCAGUGGGGAAUUUUGGACAAUGGGGGCAACCCUGAUCCAGCCAUGCCGCGUGAGUGAAGAAGGCCUUCGGGUUGUAAAGCUCUUUCAGCCGGAACGAAACGGUUACGGAUAACACCCGUGACUACUGACGGUACCGGAAGAAGAAGCACCGGCUAACUACGUGCCAGCAGCCGCGGUAAUACGUAGGGUGCGAGCGUUAAUCGGAAUUACUGGGCGUAAAGCGUGCGCAGGUGGUUUUGUAAGUCAGAUGUGAAAGCCCCGGGCUCAACCUGGGAACU
This 423-nucleotide ribosomal RNA is filed under the name uncultured bacterium. RNAcentral describes it as "bacterial SSU rRNA". It matches the Rfam family "Bacterial small subunit ribosomal RNA", at positions 207 to 622 of the family's 1533-position model. The record is from RNAcentral.